GGAAUAAAGUGGGGUUUUUUCCCUUUUAAUUUUUUUUUUUUGUGUGUGUUUUAUUGUUGGUAGAUGUUAAGUUUCAGAGGAACAAAAUGUAACUGCACGAUUAUGUCAUUUAAAAUGGAGUUCUGCCUAUACCUGCUAAGAAAAUUGAAGCUUGGUGGUGUACCUGGUAAUCUAGCAAAUCAAUCAAAAAGUAUUUAAUAUUCCCAGAUUCUAAGCAUACCAUAAUUCUCAGUACUAUAAAGAAUUUCUUAAAAGUGUAUGUAAAACUAUUCAGUUUUUGAAAAUGUUUUGGAUGCUUAUCAUAGAUGACUGUGGCCUUAGUUGCUUCAAAUUUGGGGGAGGGGAGGAAGGUACAGAAAAUCAAUCCAAGAACUACAACUUGGUAGCAAAAUCUACCUUGGUUGAAAUAUGUACCAAGUACAGUGUUAAUACAGGGGAGAAAGAUCCUGAUCCAGAGAACUUUGUAGCAGAGACAGUACCUAGUCACGUUUUGAAGAUUGGUAGCAAAGUUUUCCAUGUAGAUCAAGAUAAGCAUGUUUCCAGCAGAGAAGCCACGUGUGAAAAGUCAAUGAGAUACAAAAGAGAACAUGGCACGUUCUUGGAUUUACUAAAGAACAGUUUGCAUGGAGCAUAAUGAACAUUCAAGUGGGCGAGGUUUGAGGGGGAGACAUUAUGUUACUAUAAAUCUUCCCUUGUUCAUCCAUUUAACAUAUAUUUAUUGAGCACAUCAUUCUAAGUGCUGGAAAACAGGGGUGCACAAAAUCAAGUCUGGGCUUUGGAGGAGUUCACAUUCUAGUGAUCCCAGAAUUCCAGAAUGGCAGAACAGAGAUUUCCAAGGUCUGAUUCAACCAUCACUUUAUCUUCUUUGUUCCUUUUUGGUUUACAGAUUAGAAAACAGAGGCACAGGGAAGCUACACCGUUUUACUGAAAUCACACAUCAAAAAGGUGGCACUUCACAGAUGGAAAAGGACUUUGCAUACAAAGACCAAGACUGUCAGAGUUGGAAGCUUAAUUCAUUCAAGAGGAAUCUCAUGCUCUAGCAAAUGAUUUCUUUUAAAAGUUAAAGCAGCCAACCAAGUCUUUUCUGAUAGGAAUGUUGGUUGUUCCACUGCCCCUCAAUCAGAAACCUGUUAUAGACAAGCAAAUCAAGAUUCACAGAACUUUUCAUGUUUGAGCCAGUGCACUCCAACCGCUUCUAGGUUCAGAAGGGUGAUAACUUCUUAUCCUGAGAUACAACACUGAGAUCAUAAAAGUGAAACCAGAAACAGUUGCUGGGCUUAUUCAGAUGGGAUACAAUAGUAUACUACUCCCCACCCCCACCCCCCACCAAGGAUAUUAGCCUUUUCAUACUAUGCCAAGCAAAAAAAAAAUGGAAUUGCUUUGUUAUGAUACAGGAAGGAGCAAAAGAUGGUGUGACUCAAUGGAGGAUUUUCAUUGGUGGCCCCUGUAAUCCAGCCCUGGUCAAUUAUUUCCAUUGCACCCUGAGUCAUUUAUCUUUCUGCAAGCAAAGCAUCUGGAGGCAGUAAUUGUAAAUAAUUCAUUCCUGUACAAUUCUGCAGUUGGAUUUAACUCUGAUCUCAAUGAAAGUGACAAUGUUGGAUGUUCCCACUUUUUAGAGAUAGUUGGUUUGCACCUGCGAUGGCUAUACUCUGCCCCAGAACUGUCCUGAGGGGUAGAGCUCCUGUUUAUAUCCCCCUACCUCUCUCCUAGGAGCUAAGACUCAAGAUCACUGUGCCCACACCUUGCCUUGAUCCAGUGACUUCAUGAUAUUUUACAUACUCUGAAAUUGAGAUUUGAGGAUUGGUUGUGGAAAAGAAAGAGCUUCAUUUCCUAUGCCCUCUAACACUCCCUGGAUAGGUGAGCAGGGCACCAUUGCUUCUUGAUCUCUCGUAGUUGCAGUCCAGUGAUUUCAGAGAGACUACCUUAGACUGCCCUCCACUUGGCCAUGAUGUGUUCCAGAUGAACAAAAGCAACAACGAAAAACCUAAACUGCUGCAGGGUCCCCCAAGCCGACACCACUGUGCAGAUGUUGGUGUGCACCCCACAGCUGGUUCCCCAGCACCUGGAACAGUGCCAGUCACAUCAAUAUGUAUUUGGUGAAGGAAUGAAUGGGCUGAGCCUGAAGAGAAAGAGGGCGAUGCUAUUGGAAGGUGGCCUUUGGGAGGUGAUUGGAUCCCAAGAUGGAGCCCUCAUGAAUGGGAUUAGUGUCCCCCAAAAAAAGGACUCCAGAGAGCUCCUCCCCAUGUCCAUCCUGUGAGGACACAGUGAGAAGAAGGCCUCUAUGAAGAGGGAGGUCAGCAGAUGUCAGAUCUGCUGUCACCCAAUCUUGAACUUCCCAGCCUUCAACUCUGUGAGAAAGAAAUUUUGGUUUUCUACAACCCAACUAGUCUAUGGCAUUCUGUAGCAUCACAGAUUAAUUAAGACCCCAUGUGUCUGAUAUAGGGGUCAUAUCCAAAAUAUGUAAGGAACUCCUACAACUCAAUAGCACAAAAGUAAAUAACCCAAUUUUAAAAUGGCAUUUCUCUUCUAAGGAAGAGAAACCUGUGACCACCAGGUAUAUGAAAAUGUGCUCAACAUCAGGAAUCACUGGGGAAAUGCAAAUCAAAACCAAACCUGCUGGGAUGCUAUUAGGAAAAAACAACAAAAGCAAAAGGUAAUUAUUAAUGAGGAUGUGGAACAAAGGGAACUUCUGCAUACCUUUAGUAGGAAUGUAAAUUAGUGCAGUUAGAAGACACUUGUUUGGAUAAGUAUUCUCCAAAGGCCUAAGGGUGAAAGCUUAGUCCACAAACCUGUGGUGUUAUUGGGAGGUGGUGGAAUCUUUAAGAGGUACGGUCUAGAGGGAGGAAGUUAGGAUAUUGGGGUGUAUCCUUGUAGGGGUAUUGGAACCUCAUUUCUCUUAAUCUCUCUCAUUCCUUCCUGGCUGCCAUAAGGUAGCAGUUUCCUCCACCAUGUACCCAUGAACUCCAACCAUGAGGUACUAUCUUGCCAUAGGCCCUAAAGCAGUAGUUCAAUUGAACACAAACUGAAACCUCCAAAACUGUGAGCUAAGGUAAUAUUUUCUUCUGUAUAAUUUUAUUACCUCAGGUAUUUUGUUAUAAUAAGAAAGCUGAUUAACACAGGAGGACAUUUUACAAAUGAAAAAAAUUGCCAUGUGAUCCAACAAUCCCAAUUCUGCAUAUUUAUCCAAAAGAAUUGAAAUGAGAAUUUUGAAGAAAUAUCUGCUGUAUCAUGUUCACUGCAGCAUUAUUCUGAAUCAUGAAGUCAUGGAAGCAACCUAUGUGUCCAUCAAUGGAUGAAUAGAUAAAAAAUAUAUAUAGCAUAUAUACAUUCAACAGAUAAAUUGUGAUAUACCCAUUCACCUGUAAAUGGACUUUAGGACUUUUUCAAAUUCUGGGCUGUCACCAAUCAUACCUCAAUAAAGUGACUUUAACAAAAGAUAUUCAAAUAAAAAUAAGGGAAAUGUAUGAACGGCUAAUAAAUACAUGCCUUCACACCCAACUUCUGGGAUUCUUAUGAACUGCUAGUGGGGAUAUAAACUGAUGAAGAACUUUGGAAAAUUGGCAGUUUUAAAGAAAUGAAGUUCAUGCAAACAUUGUACCUGAAUAUUCAUAGCAGCUCAACUUGUAAUAGACCAGAAUUUGAAAAAAAAUCCAAAGUCCUUCCACAAAUGCAGAAAUAUAUUAUGGCUCAUUCAAAAACUGGAAUAUUUCUCAAAAAUAAAAAGAAAUGAACAACUAUUAUUUGCAGAAACCUGAGUGGGUCUCUAUAACUAUGACAUAUGCUGAGCUAAAUGUGAAACUAUACUUUAUGUACAUAUAUAUAAAAUUUUAGAACAGGUAAAAUUAAUCUAAAAUUAUGACUAACAUAGAUCGGGGAGUCAGAUGUUUUAUAUUUUAGACUUUUUUUUUAUUGAAUGAAGAAGGGCACAAGAAAUUUUAUAGGGUAACAGAAACAUUCUGUAUUUUGAUUUUGAUGAGGUUUAUAAAAUAUAUACAUUUGUCAAAAUUCAUCAAAUGGCAUUUCCUGUAAAUUAUGCCUCAAUAAAUUUGAUUUAAAGAAAAAAAAUAGUACCCAGCUUACUGGAUUGGUGUGAAUAAAAAAUAGGAGAAUUCAAGUAAAAAUCUUGCCUCACACAAAAUACCCAACAAGGAUUAGCUAUCAUUAUGUCCAUAAUUCCAGAUUAUGAGCAAAAUUUUUGUUUUUUCUCUCUGCCUAAUGGAGAGGCUGAAAUUGUAGCCUUGUAGAGCAGGUUGGAGUCCCCAAGAUAUGGAAGUGGAGAGACUUUCAUUCCAAGGGAAUAGGACAUUGCAAAGCAAGAACAUGCUAAAGCCUGGUCAUAUUGGGCAAACACAACAUAGUACCAUUGGCUCAAUCAGAAGGAAUAUCAAUGCUGAUAGUAAGACAAAAAAAAUUAUAAAAGAGAAAGCUGUUGCCAGUAUUAAAAAACAACAACAACAAAAACCAGAAUAAUGUUCUAACUCUUGAUUGGCAAGAAAAAGGAUAAUCAUAAUUCCUGGUUUCCUCAAAACAGUACAAAUUUACAUCACUGGAUAAUGCAUAAUUGCUAAUAGCAUCCUUAGCAUCCUGUUUCUUUCUCAAAAUUGCUCUGGUUUGGAUAAUAAAUUAUACUAUCUAUCAUCUUAGCAAUGAGAAACCUUUAAACUCUUUUUAAAAAACAGAUCUGAGGACAAAAGGGCAGAGAAAGGAUGAUCUUAUCAGAGUUGCACUUGACCAAAUCUA
This is a long non-coding RNA of Marmota monax (woodchuck), 4740 nucleotides long. RefSeq lists it as uncharacterized. The record is from RefSeq and is a predicted model, not a curated record. Lineage: Eukaryota; Metazoa; Chordata; Mammalia; Rodentia; Sciuridae. The transcript is spliced from 5 exons.